Molecule: long non-coding RNA, 476 nt
Filed under: Amborella trichopoda
Lineage: Eukaryota; Viridiplantae; Streptophyta; Magnoliopsida; Amborellales; Amborellaceae
Description: long non-coding RNA (ATRI_LNC001680)
Source: RNAcentral
AAAAAUUCUAUCAUGGGUUACAAAAAUAAAAAAUAAAAAAUAAAAUUCGAUCAUGGAUUACAAGAAAAAAAAGCAAAUAUUUUGAUCAUAGAUUACAAAAAAUUCGAUCAUAGAUAACAAAAAAUUCUAUCAUGGGCUACAAAAAAAAAAAAAAAUUUAAGUUCUUCACAGAGUCGUUUUACAUAAGCGAUUUUAACUCAAAAAUUCACCUCCAAGUGAAUAAAUUACAUCCAAUUGACUAUAUUUUCUGAUAAACAACAAUAUAAGGAAUCAAAAACCUAAAUUUUUAACACAUUAUUUCUAAUAUAUCAUGAAAACAAAAUCAAAAGGCGGAAAAAAAAAAAAAACAGCGGAAUUUGGUUCCGCAAACAUCUCACUGUUCAUAUCAAAUUUCUUGCUGUAAUUUACCAGAUUACGUAAAAUUGAUAAUUUUAAAUCAUACUAGACACAAUAAAGAUUAAAAACCCUAAUUAUUG